UACGGAAGGCAGCAGUGGGGAAUAUUGCACAAUGGGCGCAAGCCUGAUGCAGCCAUGCCGCGUGUAUGAAGAAGGCCUUCGGGUUGUAAAGUACUUUCAGUCGUGAGGAAGGUGUUAAGGUUAAUAACCUUAGCAAUUGACGUUAGCGACAGAAGAAGCACCGGCUAACUCCGUGCCAGCAGCCGCGGUAAUACGGAGGGUGCGAGCGUUAAUCGGAAUUACUGGGCUAAAGGGCACGCAGGCGGUUAAUUAAGUUGGAUGUGAAAUCCCCGGGCUUAACCUGGGAAUGGCAUUCAAGACUGGUUAGCUAGAGUCUUGUAGAGGGGGUAGAAUUCCAUGUGUAGCGGUGAAAUGCGUAGAGAUGUGGAGGAAUACCGGGUGGCGAAGGCGGCCCCUGGGACAAAGGACUGACGCUCAUGUGCGAAAGCGUGGGGAGCGAAACAGGGAUUAGAUACC
RNAcentral lists this ribosomal RNA (456 nucleotides) under uncultured bacterium. RNAcentral's name for it is "bacterial SSU rRNA". It matches the Rfam family "Bacterial small subunit ribosomal RNA", at positions 340 to 786 of the family's 1533-position model. The record is from RNAcentral.